UGAACUCAAGUGUGGAGGGAUGGUGGUGGCAUGCACAUUUGACCAUCGCAUAGCAGAUGCCUACUCAGCCAACAUGUUUCUGGUUUCAUGGGCAAAGAUGGCCAACUCAGAAUCUCCAGUCAUUAUCGUACCUUCUUUUCGUCGUUCUUUGUUAAACCCUCGCCGUCCCGGUCAGAUCCAUCCUUCCCUAAAUGACCUGUACGUCCCUGUCACAUCUCUGCCCCCUCCUCCCAAAAUGGAGACCAAUGAUCAUGAAGACCGACUUCUCAGUCGCAUAUACUACGUUAAAGCAGAGCAACUUAUCAAGCUCCAAGCACUUGCGAGCUCCAGUGGUUGCAAAAGGUCCAAGCUGGUGUCCUUUUCUGCAUUCUUGUGGAAAAUGGUUGCCGGAAGCGAAACCGGCAAUGAUGUCGAAAAAUUAUGCAAAAUGGGUAUUGUAGUUGACGGAAGGUCUAGAUUAGCCGAUGAAAAUAAGAUGGCUAGUUACUUUGGCAAUGUUUUGUCUAUUCCAUUCGGAGAUAAAGUAAUACAAGAGCUCAAUGAAAAAUCACUGAAUUGGGUAGCUGAUGAAGUUCAUGAGUUUCUGGAAUGUGCGGUAACGAAGGAACAUUUCUUAGGGCUGAUAGACUGGGUGGAGGCUCACCGCCCGGUGCCAGGCAUGGCCAAGAUAUGCUGCAGCGGAAGCGAAGAGGGUCCUGCUUUCGUGGUGUCCUCCGGCCAAAGGCUUCCGGUUUCUGAAGUGGAUUUCGGUUGGGGGGCACCGCUUUUUGGGUCGUACCAUUUUUCAUGGGGAGGCAGCUCCGGGUAUGUGAUGCCGAUGCCGAGUCCGGUGGGGAAUGGGGACUGGGUUGUGUACAUGCACAUGUUGAAAGGGCAGUUGGACGUGAUAGAGAAGGAGGGUGGUCAUGUGUUCAAGCCCUUGACUUAUGAUUAUCUUGUUUAAUUAAAUUUUAUUAUUGUAAGUAUUUAUAAUUACCAAAUGUUUAUCUCAAUAAUUCUGUAUACACGGAGAUUGAAGUUAAAUUCCUUCUAUAUUGUACCUUAUGUAUGAUCAAUCAGGUACCCAAUGUUUAGAAGAGGGUACCUCAAGUUAUGCUCAGUUUGACAGUUUAAUAUUUCCGUUAAUUUUUUCGUUAAAUAUAAGAGAAAAUUUUGAUUUAUGUCCUAUUUAUAAAUAUAGACAUAAAUAUAUUUGUUUUGUGGGUUAAAUGACCAUUAGUCUUGGGUCUUUAUUAUUUUCUAGGUCUUUUAGGAGCACAUGAACAUGAAUUAAUAUUUUUGGUUAGGUUGAUAUAAUAUGACAUAAUCUAAUUUUAUGUUAAAAAAAUAUGUAUUUGUGAUUUGACCACCUAUUACACUACUUUCAGUGAAUUAAUUCGAUAUAUCUCAGUGGAGUAGUCUUGUGAGUGUUUAGGUUACACCGACUAAAUUUCUUAAAUAUAAAAUUCAAUUAUGUUUGAAGAAAAUAUUAAUACAUCCUUAUAUAGAUAAAUAUUAAUUCAAUUUUUGGAUAUAUAGUGAAAUAUAUACAGUUGUCUUCCAGAGCAGGACACCACUUUGAAAUUAAAGCGUGGUGCUCCUCAUUUUGCUCACUUUCAGGUCGCAUUUCCACAACUGCACAUUUUAGUGUCUAAAUGUGUAGAUCAUUUCUGUAAAGUUUCAUCAAAUUUGGAGAUCAUUUGAGCUUCCGUAAUUGUGAUUUACACGAAUAGUUUUGUUCUGUUUGGACAGUUUUUGUUAUGUUGAUUUAUUGAAUCUAAUUCGGUACCCAAAUGAUCUACAAAUUAGAUGAAACUGUGUAGGAAUGAUAUACACACUAUGUUAUAGACAUAAUACGGUUAAUAUGUGAAAAUGCGACUUGAAAAUGAACGAAAUAAGAAGGUUCACACUUUAAUUUCAAAGAGAGACACCGCUCUAAAAGGAAAUUGUGUAUACACAUAUGUCAUAUGAGUGUUUAGGUGCUUGCUAUGCUCUAAAUUGGCUCUAACUUUCUCUUUCUUAUGAUAUAUAUGAUGCAAGUUUUACGGAGAUAUUAGUUUAAACUUCGGACAAAACUCUCCUACCUCAUCUUGAAAUCUACAACCCAUAUCUCUCUCUCUCUCNNNNNNNNNNNNNNNNNNNNUACUACUACUACUACUACUCUACUACUACUACUACUCUCUCUACUCUCUCUCUCUCUCUCUCUCUCUCUCUCUCUCUCUCUCUCUCUCUCUCUCUCUCUCUCUCUCUCUCUCCUCAGUUUCUUUUUAUCUUCUUCUUUCUCCGUCCUUGACCUUCUCUUUCUCUUUCUCUUUCUCAUCCCUUUCCCUUUUCUUAAUUUUCUUUCUCCCUUCCCCUGUUUGCCUUUUCUCUGUCUCCUUUUUCCCCCACGUACCGUCAACAAUGACCCAAAUCCUUCUUAUCUCACCACAAAAGAUAAGACCAGCCUACCAAAUAAUAUCAUUGUAGGUGACUGACAACCAAUAACUAUCAAUUUAGCUAUUUCUCAUGUCCAAAGCAAAGAUUCCGGGCUGCUAGCAGUUAGUAACUUAAUUAGUACGUACAUUGUUUAACGUAAGCAGUUGGCUAAGCUCAUUUCUCGUUUAGGCAUUACAGCUAGGGUCUUAAUAAGGCUUAAAAUUUGUGACAUUAAUCCUAUGUGUCAUGUUAUAUAAGUAUGUAAAAAUAUUUACUUCUGAUUCCAGAUAAUAUAUCUUACCAAAUCAUUAGAUUACAUUACAAAUUUGACCAUUUCUAUUUCCCUUUAGAUUUUAAGAGGUGAAUCAAUGAUAUUAAUGAACUUUAUUAGCCUCUGCAGCGAUGUGCCUCUUAUUAAAGACUUUUAACCUUGUAGGCAUUUGCAGCUGCUAUAUGUGAUCUCUGUCACUUUGGCAAUAUCUUUAAACCCAUCAGGCAUUGAAACUGUUAUGUUCUAGAUAUCGAUUAUGUGGGGAUUAGGAUGAGACAGAGUGGGGACAACCACGACAAUCCUUGUCGUUCUCUUAGAAAAUCAUUUUUCUUAUCUCCCCCUAACUACGAGAAGACUAUCUCAUCAAAGUGACAUUCCGCAAGUCUAGCGAUAAAGAGAUGACUUGUCAAGAGUUUCAAAUGGCGGAUAAUUAUUGGAGUUUCAUAUCCAACACAUAAAUAUUCGUUUCUGAGGACCCAAUUUUGAUGCGUUGUGGGGGUGCAAUAAGCACAUAUGUUGCACAACCAAGUAUGCGUAAAUCUUAGGCUCAUGUCUAGUUACCAACUGGUACACAGGGAAUGGUUGGCUAGGAGUGGGCUUAAAAAUGAAUAAGUAAGGUUGCAUGCAAUAUUGCAUAACCCCAAGCAGAUAUAGGCAAGUUGGUGCGCAUAACCAGUACCCUAGCCAUCAUUUAUGGUGCUUUCUGCGAGACCAUUUUUGUAUGCAAAUGGGGUACAAGAUGCUCUACAUUGAUCAUGAUAGACAUACAAUAACCAUCAAAUCCUUUUGAUGUGAACUCUCAUCAUUGUCAAGUCCUAUAGACUUGGUGAUUAGGGUGAUAAGCCCUUAAACACAUAAUAUUUGCUAAGAGUUUUGCAAAUGUAGUAUUUCUUGUGAAUAAUAAUUCGACAUAUGACUAGUGUGUCGAUACGUCCUCUAGAUACAUAAUGUACUUUAAUGGUCCGCAUUUCUGGAUGGAUAAGUCCACAGUCAUCACAUUGUAUUCUUUGUAAGAAUGGAAUAUAUUGGUUUAUAUCUUUAGCAUAAGGAGGUCUCGAUCUUAUUUUUUUGCUAAAGUAUAGACUUUGCAAAACGAGUAAUUUUGCCUUUGAAAUAAUCAAUAAGGCAUAAUGGGAGGCAUGUUGUGUAUCACGUGCUUUAGAGUGCAAUGACCGCAUUAUAGCAACAUUAGCUAGAACUGGCCAGUGUCUGGUGGUCAGAGUCGGUGUCGUCACCUUGCAGGGUAACAGAGUUUUGUCCCAUUUUAUUAUUCACUCAAAGGAUAGGAUAUCCGUGUGAGUUCUUUAAAAUACGAAUCAUCAUGUCAUGACCAAGAAGUUUCUUGGUGGUCAUGCUAAAGUCUGUGUAAGUCCCUAUCCCAUGUUUCAAUGUAGGUGACUAGUUAGAUUUUUUAAAAUGCGUGUCCUACCACAUUUUAUUUAAGGUAAUAUCAUUCCAUUCUCACAUUAGAUUUUCAUAUGAUGAUCGUUGGUACGAAUUUCUUGAAACUUUAACAUGGUUUGAUUAGUGUGGUUAAUUCCACUGUCAGCCAAGCACUUGGUUUUCUUCUCGAUACAUUCCUUACAAGUAUAUAAGAGUUUAUUAAAAUAUACCUCGUAUUCUUUGGAGUAUUUCGAGUCUCAUCUAGCGUCCUCCUCACAAAUAAACCAAACAUACUUAGCAAAUAACAAAGAAAUUAUCCAAAAAAAAAAAAAAAAGCAAAUAACAAAGAAACACGCGUACAUGACCAACUUACUGCACCGGCUAGAUUAUAGAUUCAGAUCACUAGAUUACGAACCCUGCACAAUAGUUCCGAGUCAGAAGUAGAAUUUUUCUCUACUGUAACAACGGAGAAAAAGUAGAAACCAGCCCCCCGGCAAGCAACAUUGUAACAACCCUUAUUUGUUUUCAUUGUUCAUUGUAGGUCAUGACUCGCAAUCAAUAACUGCCAAGUUUAGUUAUUUCUCAUGUCCAAAGAUUCUGGGUUGUCGAACCCAUACAUAAUAAGUUAGUUCAUUGUUCAACGGAAGUACGUAGCUGGCUAAGCUCAGUUCUCCUUUUUCCCUUCCACAAGCCUACCUAUAUUUUUUAUUUUUAUUUUGAGGCAAAAACCUAUAAGUUUAUCAAAUUUAUGUAUUUUUGAUCGUCAACAUAAUUCAACAUCAAAUGAUAAUUAAGUAUAUAAAGGUUUUGAUUAGUUGAUUCAAACUUAAGCCAUUUAAGAACAUGUUCCAAUCAGAUUGUGCUGAACAAAUUGAUGUAAUGAAUGAUUAUAUAUAGCUGAGUUUCAGCAUUAUGUUCUUAGAAAUGUUAUUUCACUCUCUAAAUUAACUUCCUCGUCUAGCUAGUCCUCCUCACAAACCAAAGCAUACCAAACCAAACGAAACCAAACACAAUUAGCAAAUAAUAAAGAAACACAUGACUAACUUACUAGUUACUACACCAGAUUAUAGACUCCGAUCACUAUAUUACCAACACUGUAAAUGCAUAACGGUUCUCAUAAGAAGAAGAAGAAGUUUCCUCCACUGUAACCACUAGCUGGCUCCAGUGGUCCAGGUCUCCAGGAACUAACAAAUAUGCAAGUUGAAUUAACUCCUUACUUUGGUUUGCUGUUCAGAUAAUAGCUUAUAAGUUAUAAUUAAAUUUAGCCUUACCUCAAAUCGUCAUUGUCGCGGACUCACAUGAACUAGUUGUUUAAGUUAAUUUAUUACCACACCAACUUUUCCAAAGAUGUGAGCCUAUAUAAGUAAUCCAGAAGAAGUUGGUACAUUGUGAUGAAAAGGUAAAUAGUUUGGUAGCUCGAUAUUUUAUUGCUUAAGUUGCUUUCACCUCUAAAACCUACCCAUGCAGCUCAGCUUACUGCUUAUUGCUAUACUAAUCAAGGCCCAUUUAGGAUAACUUCGAUUUAAAAAAAAAAAAAUUAGGAGUGUUUGGUAAAUCUAAAAUGGAUCAGUUUUUAGAAGCAACAUCGAUGUAAGCAAUCAUCUAGAUUCACCCCUUAAAGGAAAAAGAAAUGGUAAAACUGGUAAUGCAAGCUUAUAAUUUGACAAGAUGAAAAAAAAAAAAAACUUAUGAUUUGACAAGAUAAAUUAUGUGAAAUCAGAAAUAAAUAAUUUUACAUACUUACGUGACAAUACUUACAUGACAUGAUUAAUGUCACAAAUUUUAGGCCUAAAAUCCUAUAUCAGUGCUCUUUCUCGAUUGAAAUUUGCAUCGUAACAGGUGUAAUAGUAUUACAAAGAACUACCAACCUGAUUUGGUGAACACAUUUAAUUAAUUAAUAAUUACAGUGAGUUUUAGUUAGGAAUAUUAUUCCACUCUCGAACUACACACUGCCUAUAAAUUCACUCCUCAUCUAGUGUCUUCCUCAUAAACCAAACCAAACCAACCAAACUUAACUAGCAGAUAACAAAGAAACAUGGCUGGAGGCAGAGAAUUCAAGGUGAGUACGAGGAAGCAAGAAGUGGUGGCCGCUGCACUGCCAUUGCAAGAGCACUGGCUACCACUCUCCAACCUCGACUUGCUUCUGCCACCAGUCGAUGUGGGAGUGUUCUUCUGCUACAAGAACCACAGCAGCCCCUCUGUGGCCGCCUCCAGGGUCGGGGUUCUGAAGAAGGGCUUGGCCCAAGCCCUGGUGACAUACUAUGCCUUUUCGGGUGAGGUGGUGGCCAACUCUGUUGGGGAGCCUGAGAUUCUGUGCAACAACCGUGGGGUUGAUUUCACUGAAGCUUUUGCUGACGUUGAACUUAAAGAGCUCAACCUUCAUAACCCUGAUGAGAGCAUUGAAGGAAAAUUGGUUCCCAACAAGAAGCAUGGGAUUCUGGCCGUCCAGGUUGAUAUCCGACUCCUGUUCCCUCUCACUUCAACGUUUUAAGUUUUGUUUUUUGUUUAUAAAAUUUGUAGAUUUGAACCAGAAGUGACUCAUUUCCUCUAGCAAAAGCAGCCUAGAAACUUAAAACCAUUAAGGACAAAGGAUGAUAAAACACAACUAGCUACAAAGAACAAAGAGUACGUAUUAAACGUAAAUGCUAGCCCAACUGACCAGGCUACAUGAUUACACUACCAAAAAUUAGGAUUGACUUCUGCACUAUAUAUGGUAAAGCUUUUAGGGCAUCCAAAAUUAGGGUUUUUCAGGUUUAAGGUGUGCUCCAGAGUUUUAUUUUCGAACUGUAAUUUGAUGAGGACCUAAAGCCGACUUGAUUUUAGACAUAUAUAACAAACAAUAUCAACACAAAGAAUCCAUGAGAAGCACGCAAAAUUUUAAGUGUCGCUAUCGCUGUCCCAGAGUUACGUACUCAUAGUAUUGUAUUCCUCUCCAAGUUCUUCUUACUGAAGCAAUAUCCAAAUCAAAUUUCUCUUGUUGAAUGUACAAAAUUUGCAGGCAACUGAACUCAAGUGUGGAGGGAUGGUGGUGGCAUGCACAUUUGACCAUCGCAUAGCAGAUGCCUACUCAGCCAACAUGUUUCUGGUUUCAUGGGCAAAGAUGGCCAACUCAAAAUCGCCACUCACUAUGGUACCUUCUUUUCGUCGUUCUUUUUUAAACCCUCGCCGUCCCGGUAAGAUCCAUCCUUCCCUAAAUGACCUGUACGUCCCUGUCACAUCUCUGCCCCCUCCACCCAAAAUGGAGACCAAUGAUCAUGAAGACCGACUCCUCAGUCGCAUAUACUACGUUAAAGCCGAGCAACUUAUCAAGCUCCAAGCACUUGCGAGCUCCAGUGGUUGCAAAAGGUCC
Molecule: long non-coding RNA, 7400 nt
Filed under: Fragaria vesca (wild strawberry)
Lineage: Eukaryota; Viridiplantae; Streptophyta; Magnoliopsida; Rosales; Rosaceae
Description: long non-coding RNA (FVES_LNC003183)
Source: RNAcentral